CGUGUAGGCGGUUCAUUAAGUCAGCUGUGAAAGCCCUCGGCUCAACCGAGGAAGUGCAUCUGAUACUGGUGAACUAGAGUCCCGAAGAGGGUGGCGGAAUGCCCAGUGUAGAGGUGAAAUUCGUAGAUAUUGGGUAGAACACCGGUGGCGAAGGCGGCCACCUGGGAGGGUACUGACGCUGAGACGCGAAAGCGUGGGGAGCAAACA
Molecule: ribosomal RNA, 207 nt
Filed under: uncultured bacterium
Lineage: Bacteria
Description: partial 16S ribosomal RNA
Rfam family: Bacterial small subunit ribosomal RNA
Source: RNAcentral